UACGUAGGAUGCAAGCGUUGUUCGGAAUUACUGGGCGUAAAGAGUACGUAGGCGGUUUGAUAAGUCUGAUAUUAAAGACUGGGGCUCAACCUCAGGAGUGUAUUGGAAACUGUCAGACUAGAGGAUAAUAGAGGAAGUUGGAAUUCUCAGUGUAGCGGUGAAAUGCGUAGAUAUUGGGAAGAACACCAGUGGCGAAAGCGGACUUCUGGGUUAUUACUGACGCUGAGGUACGAAAGCGUGGGGAGCAAACGGG
This 253-nucleotide ribosomal RNA is filed under the name uncultured bacterium. RNAcentral's name for it is "partial 16S ribosomal RNA". It matches the Rfam family "Bacterial small subunit ribosomal RNA", at positions 524 to 776 of the family's 1533-position model. The record is from RNAcentral.